RNAcentral lists this long non-coding RNA (1724 nucleotides) under Capsicum annuum. RNAcentral's name for it is "long non-coding RNA (CANN_LNC017332)". Lineage: Eukaryota; Viridiplantae; Streptophyta; Magnoliopsida; Solanales; Solanaceae. The record is from RNAcentral.
AUUGUUCGUGCACCAGCCAUUCCUAUCGGCAGGGAGUUUUACCUUAAUCAUUUACUUCUCCUCUAUUCCCCACAAUUUGCUCGAGAAUGGAUAGUACAACUAUGUGGCCGCAUAAGGAGGUUCCCCCGGGCAACUUGGAUACCUCAAAGAUCGAGGUUAGGUUGAUUAUUUUGUCAUUGUGGUCCCAAAGACCCUUACAAAGUUACCUAUCUCAUAUCUUAGAGUACUUAUCGUAAGAAACCCGAGCUGGGGCAUUUAUUUUAUACAGUAUUCUUUUUUAUUAGUUAUUGUCAAUAGAUUAUCACCAAGUAAAUUUCUGCAUCAUCUCAUUGGUUCCCUCUUAGAAGAAUCACCUAUCUCCAUUUGAUUAGAGAGUUUUGCUCAUGGAUAGAGAAGGUUUUGAACAUAUCCACAAUUGCUAGUCGAUCUUAGGUGCAUAUCCAACUAGUUCGAUUGGGAAGAAAAGAACCACUGUACUUUUAACACCUUACACUUCUUACUAUUUUCUUUAGAUUGAUUUUUUUCCUUAGAACUUCUUGCAAAACUGACAUCUAGUUCUAUGAUUAUAUCAUCCUAGAUUGUUGCUACCAAUUUAAUGAGCCAAGAUACUAAAGGUUGACUUUGUGCCUUUGAUGAUGUUACGACGGACCAUGUCCUCGAGGUUAAGCCUCAAUCUAUUAAAGGGAAGAAAAGAAAAAGGCCAGACUUGUUAGUAGAAGGGGUUUGCUUUCGGGGUUAUUUCUUAAGAUAAAGGCUCUGAGGGUCUAUGGACGCAUCACCAAUCCAGAGAAUGGGUGCUCUUAUCAUAACUUGUUUCAAAUUUAUAGGUCUAUUCAAGAAGCUAGAGAAAGUUAUAAGCCCCAGUCAGAUUGCCUAAAUAAUGAAGUAGGUGUCUCUCCAUAAUUCUCCUUGGAAGUCCCUGUCGAGCAUAGAAUUUUAAAACAUAUUAUCUUAAUGCCUUUUUUGGCAUUAUCCCACUAUGGUUUAUGUAGUCCUUCAUAUCACAUCUGACUUUUCACGCUUUCUGGAUUGGGGCCUAAUGCAAUAUCAAAUGGCAGUGCUAUAUAUUCCUAGUGAAGUCAAUUUCCUGUCAAUGCCGGUAUCAUAUCUGCCAAAAAUCACCAAAGGAUGGAUGAGGCAUCUACUGAGUGUCUUAUCAAUGAGUUCUCAUGCCGCUGCUAGGUUAGUAACUUACAUACCUCGCGUCUGUUUCUUUAGAUUCAAUUUUUCUAUUUUAAUAAGAUAUUUAUUAUUUCGCUACAGGCCAGUUAGCGGCAUAAAGCCUUUCCAGAAAGACAGAGAGCUUCUUAGAGACUUUUGGCUGUCUUGAGGUUCGUUUGUCAAGGGUUACCCAAGGAGCCUCAUUUUGCUUUCAUGCUCGCUAAAGCAUUCUUCGGGAUUGCAUCCAAUCUAUCUAGUUAUGAUUUUUUACAAUCCAUCAAUCGUGCCUCUACAUCGUGAAAUUAUGUGAAGAUGUGUUGACAGGUAUUUUCCUACUAGAGAGUUACCUUCACUAAGGUCAAGAAUUUUUGGUAGCCAAAAUAGCUUGGCCACAAUCGAGGGAUGCCUUCAAGCCAUUUUGUGAUCCCUUUUAAGCUUGUUCCUUUUGUAGCUCGUAGCUUGUAGCUUUCCUCGGCUUUAUAAUUUAUAUCCUAUUAGGUUUUGUAUCUUGUAAUUUAUAACCCUUUUGGGCUUAAUUGAGGAAGGAUUUUCCACAAUUUCAU